CCUAUGGGUGGCUGCAGUAGGGAAUAUUUCUCAAUUUUUUAAACCCUUAAUCAUCAACUCCUCGUUUAUGAUGAAGGUUUUCGGAUUGUAAACUCCUUUUGUUAGAGAAGAUAAUGACGGUAUCUAACGAAUAAGCACCGGCUAACUCCGUGCCAGCAGCCGCGGUAAUACGGAGGGUGCAAGCGUUACUCGGAAUCACUGGGCGUAAAGAGCGCGUAGGCGGGAUAGCAAGUCAGAUGUGAAAUCCUAUGGCUUAACCAUAGAACUGCAUUUGAAACUGUUAUUCUAGAGUAUGGGAGAGGUAGGUGGAAUUCUUGGUGUAGGGGUAAAAUCCGUAGAGAUCAAGAGGAAUACUCAUUGCGAAGGCGACCUGCUAGAACAUAACUGACGCUGAUGCGCGAAAGCGUGGGGAGCAAACAGGAUUAGAUACCCUAGUAGUC
This 440-nucleotide ribosomal RNA is filed under the name uncultured bacterium. RNAcentral describes it as "partial 16S ribosomal RNA". It matches the Rfam family "Bacterial small subunit ribosomal RNA", at positions 338 to 795 of the family's 1533-position model. The record is from RNAcentral.